Molecule: long non-coding RNA, 684 nt
Filed under: Castor canadensis (American beaver)
Lineage: Eukaryota; Metazoa; Chordata; Mammalia; Rodentia; Castoridae
Description: lncRNA (ENSCCNG00000004767.1)
Source: RNAcentral
CCUGUCUUCAGGGCCACAAAUGUCAGAACAUCAAGAAUACCAAAUAGAAUGGGCUGGGAGUAUAGCUCAGUGGUAAAGCACUUGCCUAACAUGCUCUGAGUUCAAGCCCUAGCACCUAAAAAAAAUACCCAAAAUAAGAAAAUAUAGUUAAUGCAAUUAACUCUGUGAUGAAUGGACAAGUAGACAAAUACAGAAUCUGUGAAAACAGAACAAAGGGAUCUCACUAUCUUCAGCUGGCAGUCCCCAAUUGUGGCAAACACAAUUACAAUAUUUUUAAAAUAAGUAAUUGACUUUUUAUAGUCUGUACUUAAUAGCUCUAUGUUAUUAUGUGUAUAGAUUUUUGAAAGCUGUACUCUAAUCAAGAUGUACUUGCAGUAGAAGAUUGGAAACCCCAGACCAUUAAUAUAAAUGAUAAAAGUGUAUGACUCGAUGGGGAAGCUUGGGAGCAAUGUCCUUAAUGGCAUCGUGGACAGUGAGUGUGUCUCCAUCCUUGGCCCCUCAGGAACUUCCGAGGGCAGUACUGCAAGCUUCAUGUGCUGCAGGUUUGUCACCUUGCUGGGCCUCUGCCUUCCUCUGGCUGGAACUGUCUAUGUGGUCGCUGGCGGGGGCUUGGGGGUGACCAAGACCUCAGGACAUCACCUGCACACGAGGCCCCUUCCACCAGUUAUGGGAAUCUGCCUUUGA